CCUACGGGAGGCAGCAGUGAGGAAUAUUGGUCAAUGGGCGCAAGCCUGAACCAGCCAAGUCGCGUGAGGGAUGACGGUCCUAUGGAUUGUAAACCUCUUUUGUCGGGGAGCAAGGCCCGCCACGUGUGGCGGGAAGGAGAGUACCAGAAGAAAAAGCAUCGGCUAACCUCGUGCCAGCAGCCGCGGUAAUACGGAGGAUGCGAGCGUUAUCCGGAUUUAUUGGGUUUAAAGGGUGCGUAGGCGGAAGGUUAAGUCAGCGGUAAAAUGUCGGUGCUCAACACCGGCCUGCCGUUGAAACUGGUCUUCUUGAGUGAGCGAGAAGUAUGCGGAAUGCGUGGUGUAGCGGUGAAAUGCAUAGAUAUCACGCAGAACUCCGAUUGCGAAGGCAGCAUACCGGCGCUCAACUGACGCUGAGGCACGAAAGCGUGGGGAUCGAACAGGAUUAGAUACCCCUGUAGUC
This 460-nucleotide ribosomal RNA is filed under the name uncultured bacterium. RNAcentral describes it as "partial 16S ribosomal RNA". It matches the Rfam family "Bacterial small subunit ribosomal RNA", at positions 338 to 795 of the family's 1533-position model. The record is from RNAcentral.